UUCGGUGGUGAUAGCGGUGGGGCCACACCCGUACCCAUUCCGAACACGGUAGUUAAGCCCACCAGCGCCGAUGGUACUUGGGACGAGUGUCCCCGGGAGAGUAGGACGCCGCCGGAU
This 117-nucleotide ribosomal RNA is filed under the name Acidimicrobiaceae bacterium. The record is from RNAcentral. Lineage: Bacteria; Bacillati; Actinomycetota; Acidimicrobiia; Acidimicrobiales; Acidimicrobiaceae.